This 439-nucleotide ribosomal RNA is filed under the name uncultured bacterium. RNAcentral describes it as "partial 16S ribosomal RNA". It matches the Rfam family "Bacterial small subunit ribosomal RNA", at positions 339 to 795 of the family's 1533-position model. The record is from RNAcentral.
CUACGGGUCGCUGCAGUGAGGAAUAUUGCACAAUGGGGGGAACCCUGAUGCAGCAACGCCGCGUGGAGGAUGACGCAUUUCGGUGUGUAAACUCCUUUUAUAUGUCAAGAAAAUGACGGUAGCAUAUGAAUAAGCACCGGCUAACUCCGUGCCAGCAGCCGCGGUAAUGCGGAGGGUGCAAGCGUUACUCGGAAUCACUGGGCGUAAAGGACGCGUAGGCAGGUUGGAAAGUCAGGUGUGAAAUCCUACAGCUUAACUGUAGAACUGCACUUGAAACUUCUAAUCUAGAGUAUGGGAGGGGGAGAUGGAAUUAGUGGUGUAGGGGUAAAAUCCGUAGAUAUCACUAGGAAUACCUAAAGCGAAGGCGAUCUCCUGGAACAUUACUGACGCUAAGGCGUGAAAGCGUGGGGAGCAAACAGGAUUAGAUACCCGCGUAGUC